GGAGAGAUGGCUGAGCGGUUGAAGGCACCGGUUUCGAAAACCGGCAUCGGGGAAACUCGAUCGGGGGUUCGAAUCCCCCUCUCUCCG
RNAcentral lists this transfer RNA (87 nucleotides) under Planctomycetota bacterium. RNAcentral's name for it is "Planctomycetes bacterium (soil metagenome) tRNA-Ser". It matches the Rfam family "tRNA". From Rfam's summary of the family: Transfer RNA (tRNA) molecules are approximately 80 nucleotides in length. Their secondary structure includes four short double-helical elements and three loops (D, anti-codon, and T loops). Lineage: Bacteria; Pseudomonadati; Planctomycetota. The record is from RNAcentral. RNAcentral also lists the same sequence under 1 other name.